This 253-nucleotide ribosomal RNA is filed under the name uncultured bacterium. RNAcentral describes it as "partial 16S ribosomal RNA". It matches the Rfam family "Bacterial small subunit ribosomal RNA", at positions 524 to 776 of the family's 1533-position model. The record is from RNAcentral.
UACAGAGGGGGCAAGCGUUAUUCGGAAUUAUUGGGCGUAAAGGGCGCGUAGGCGGUUCUUCAAGUCUCUCGUGAAAUCCCUCGGCUUAACUGAGGACGUGCGGGAGAUACUGAAGGGCUUGAGUCCGGAAGAGGGUGGUGGAAUUCCCAGUGUAGAGGUGAAAUGCGCAGAUAUCGGGAGGAACACCAAUGGCGAAGGCAGCUCGCUGGGACGGUACUGACGCUGAGGCACGAAAGCGUGGGGAUCAAACAGG